GCGCCCUUAGCUCAGCAGGAUAGAGCAACAGCCUUCUAAGCUGUGGGUCAGAGGUUCGAUUCCUCUAGGGCGCA
RNAcentral lists this transfer RNA (74 nucleotides) under Ehrlichia sennetsu str. Miyayama. RNAcentral's name for it is "tRNA-Arg (TCT) (tRNA-Arg-TCT-1-1)". It matches the Rfam family "tRNA". From Rfam's summary of the family: Transfer RNA (tRNA) molecules are approximately 80 nucleotides in length. Their secondary structure includes four short double-helical elements and three loops (D, anti-codon, and T loops). The record is from RNAcentral. RNAcentral also lists the same sequence under 2 other names. Lineage: Bacteria; Pseudomonadati; Pseudomonadota; Alphaproteobacteria; Rickettsiales; Anaplasmataceae.